RNAcentral lists this unclassified non-coding RNA (343 nucleotides) under fungal sp. RNAcentral's name for it is "partial internal transcribed spacer region". The stretch from base 1 to 46 matches the Rfam family "Eukaryotic small subunit ribosomal RNA", at positions 1786 to 1831 of the family's 1831-position model. The record is from RNAcentral. Lineage: Eukaryota; Fungi.
AAGUCGUAACAAGGUAACCGUAGGUGAACCUGCGGUUGGAUCAUUAAAAUAUAUCCGGGUGCUUGACUCGAAGCAGAAUGGAAGUUUUGUUUCAAGUUAAGCAGAUCUCACCAAUAUGUGCACCUGUAAUUGUCCGUUGGCGGCUGUCCAGUGCUCUGUGCUGCGACUUGCAUUCAAUUGCAAAGGCCGUCAACUUGUUUCUUUUUUCUCUUUCUUUUUUUUUAAAAAGAAAAAAAAAGGGGGACAACUUAAACCACAACAAACAACCAUAUUAUAUUUUUUUUAAAUAACUUUAACAAAAGAUAACCAAGAACAACUAUUAACAAUGGAUCUCUUGGCUCUC